AUGGCGACCACACUGGUCAUGCAGCUCAUGUUGCUGUUACUACUGCCAGUGACUCGAGUCUCAGCUCAGGAGCAGCAGCAGGUUGUGCGGCCUGGCUGCCGUGACAAGUGCGGCAACAUCACCAUCCCCUACCCCUUUGGCAUCGGCGCCGGCUGCUUCCGCAACGACGGUCGAGGUGGCUUCGAGCUCGAGUGCAAUGACUCACGCUCAACACCGCGGCUCACCGUGGCUGGCAAUGGGAUCCGCAUAACCAGCCUGUCCAUCAUCGCCGGCGAGGCCAGGGCCCUCCUCAGAGCAACACGCCGAUGCUAUGACAGCAAGGGGCGCAUCACCGGCAGGAGCGGCGACACGUCCGUACCACUCAUUGGCAGCCACUACCUCUUCUCCCAGACCAGGAACCGCCUUGUUGCGCUUGGUUGCUCCAACCUCGGCUACUUCGUCGACAUCGCCGGCUACUACGUCAGUGGGUGCAUGGCCGUGUGCGGGCCGCAACAGUUCAUUGAGUUGGGGUCCUGCACAGGCGUGGCCUGCUACCAGAGCACGAUACCCCCCGCUAUCGACUACUACGAGCCAUACGUGCUCGACUUCACAAAGGAGCAGACAAACAAAGGCAUAGUCUCCUAUAGCAACAGCACGACCUGCCGGUAUGUGUUCCUGGCGGAGACCAAGUGGUUAACUACAACACUGACUGGUAACAGUGAGUACCUCAACCGGACCAACAACUUCGCUGUGCCCGUCAUCCUCGACUGGGCAGUCAGAAACGUCGGCAACUGCAGCGCCGCCAAGCGCAACACAACUGACUACGCGUGCCAGAGCGCGCUCAGCGAUUGUGUCGACUCCAAGAAUGGCAUUGGGUACCACUGCAACUGCUCCAAGGGCUACGAGGGCAACCCCUAUCUACAAGAUGGAUGCAGAGACAUCAACGAGUGCAAACACAAAGAAGAGCAAUCAUGCUAUGGUGUCUGUGCAAAUACUCUGGGAAGCCACACUUGCCAAUGCCCGCCAGGGACUAGGGGAGAUGCCACAACAAAGACUGGUUGCCGGCCGAAGGACAAUUUCACGUUAGCACUGAAACUAGUUACAGGAGUCAGCGUUGGAGUGUUCUUGCCUUUGUUCAUGUGCUUCUGGCUCUACUUGGGGCUCCAGAAGAGGAAGCUUAUCAGAACAAAGCAAAUGUUCUUCGAGCUAAAUGGAGGCCUCUUCCUGCAGCAGCAGAUAAGUAACUACAAUGGCACCAGCACAGGCACUGGUGGGUUCAAGAUCUUCUCCAAGGAAGAGCUGGAGAAAGCGACCAAAAACUUUGCAGCCGACCGUAUUCUCGGCCGCGGUGGGCACGGCAUCGUCUACAAGGGUGACCUUGAGGACAAGACAGUGGUGGCGAUCAAGAAGUCAAAGAUGACGGAAGAAGUCCCGACCAAGGAAUUCGCAAGGGAGAUGUUCAUCCUCUCCCAGAUCAACCACAAGAAUGUCGUCAAGCUGCUCGGAUGUUGCCUCGAAGUAGAAGUGCCCAUGUUGGUCUAUGAGUUCGUCUCGAACGGUACACUCUACCAGUACAUCCAUGGUAGUAGGGGCCUUGACUCUGAUACAGGAUUCCACACCUGCCUUCGGAUAGCAGUAGAGUCAGCCGAGGCAUUGGCAUAUAUGCACUCUUCAGCCUCGCCGCCGAUUCUCCAUGGAGACGUCAAGACGGCAAACAUUCUGUUGGAUGACAAGCUUACAGCAAAAGUUUCAGAUUUCGGAGCAUCAAAACUAGCACCAACUGAUGAAGCCAAGAUGGCAACAUUGGUGCAGGGCACUUGCGGUUACCUUGACCCAGAAUACCUAAUGACAUGCCGGCUGACUGAUAAGAGUGAUGUGUACAGCUUUGGUGUUGUCCUAUUGGAGCUUCUGACAAGGAAGAAGGCAUUGUACUUCGACGGACCGGAGGAAGAUAGAAGCCUUGUUUUAUGCUUCAUGAUGGCAGUGAAGGUAGGCCAGCACCAAGACCUUCUGGACAGCCAAGUGAGGGACGAGGUGAGAAUCGAAGCGCUUGAAGAGAUCACACACCUAGUUAUGAGAUGCUUGAACAUGAGUGGGGAAGAGCGGCCAACGAUGAAGGAGGUUGCAGAGAGGUUGGAGAUGCUGAGGAGAUACCACCACCACCCGUGGGCUCAAGCAGAUGGUAAUCCAGAGGAGGAACAGAGCUUGCUUGCUACGGAACAACAGAAUGUGAAUUACAAAUUCACACAGGAUUAUGUCCUUGAUUUUGAAGCAAGCAGCACAUACAGCUUUAGCUCGUAG
This 2280-nucleotide ribosomal RNA is filed under the name Triticum aestivum (bread wheat). RNAcentral's name for it is "partial small subunit ribosomal RNA". The record is from RNAcentral. Lineage: Eukaryota; Viridiplantae; Streptophyta; Magnoliopsida; Poales; Poaceae.